AUCCAUCAGACAAGUCCCAAAUAGGACGGAAUGAGCAUCAUAGAU
This 45-nucleotide non-coding RNA is filed under the name Trichobilharzia regenti. Lineage: Eukaryota; Metazoa; Platyhelminthes; Trematoda; Strigeidida; Schistosomatidae. The record is from RNAcentral.